AUGAACGCUGGCGGCGUGCCUAAUACAUGCAAGUCGAGCGAACGGACGAGAAGAUUGCUUUUCUGAUGUUAGCGGCGGACGGGUGAGUAACACGUGGAUAACCUACCUAUAAGACUGGGAUAACUUCGGGAAACCGGAGCUAAUACCGGAUAAUAUUUUGAACCGCAUGGUUCAAAAGUGAAAGACGGUCUUGCUGUCACUUAUAGAUGGAUCCGCGCUGCAUUAGCUAGUUGGUAAGGUAACGGCUUACCAAGGCAACGAUGCAUAGCCGACCUGAGAGGGUGAUCGGCCACACUGGAACUGAGACACGGUCCAGACUCCUACGGGAGGCAGCAGUAGGGAAUCUUCCGCAAUGGGCGAAAGCCUGACGGAGCAACGCCGCGUGAGUGAUGAAGGUCUUCGGAUCGUAAAACUCUGUUAUUAGGGAAGAACAUAUGUGUAAGUAACUGUGCACAUCUUGACGGUACCUAAUCAGAAAGCCACGGCUAACUACGUG
RNAcentral lists this ribosomal RNA (496 nucleotides) under uncultured bacterium. RNAcentral describes it as "partial 16S ribosomal RNA". It matches the Rfam family "Bacterial small subunit ribosomal RNA", at positions 29 to 507 of the family's 1533-position model. The record is from RNAcentral.